Molecule: ribosomal RNA, 253 nt
Filed under: uncultured bacterium
Lineage: Bacteria
Description: partial 16S ribosomal RNA
Rfam family: Bacterial small subunit ribosomal RNA
Source: RNAcentral
UACGGAGGGAGCUAGCGUUGUUCGGAAUUACUGGGCGUAAAGCGCGCGUAGGCGGCUUUGUAAGUUAGAGGUGAAAGCCCGGGGCUCAACCCCGGAAUUGCCUUUAAGACUGCAUCGCUUGAAUCCGGGAGAGGUGGGUGGAAUUCCGAAUGUAGAGGUGAAAUUCGUAGAUAUUCGGAAGAACACCAGUGGCGAAGGCGGCUCACUGGACCGGUAUUGACGCUGAGGUGCGAAAGCGUGGGGAGCAAACAGG